GUGUUCUAUGAAAGGAGAGAAGGUUAGCACUCCUCUUGACAAGGAUGGGAAAGGCUCUCAGGUGUGGUUAAGGCAUUACCGCCUACUUCACAGCAACUAACCAUUGUUUUUA
This 112-nucleotide non-coding RNA is filed under the name Microcebus murinus (gray mouse lemur). The record is from RNAcentral. Lineage: Eukaryota; Metazoa; Chordata; Mammalia; Primates; Cheirogaleidae.